AGCAGCCGCGGUAAUUCCAGCUCCAAUAGCGUAUAUUAAAGUUGUUGCAGUUAAAAAGCUCGUAGUUGAAUUUCGGGAUCAAGGAAUCGGUCAUGCCUCGGUAUGUACUGGUUUUAUUGGUUCUCACCUUCUAAAGAACCAUGAUGUCAUUCAUUUGAUGUUAUGGGGAAUUAGGACUGUUACCUUGAAAAAAUUAGAGUGUUUAAAGCAGGCUUACGCUUGAAUACAUUAGCAUGGAAUAAUGAAAUAGGACAUCAGAUUCUAUUUUGUUGGUUUCUAGGAUCGAUGUAAUGAUUAAUAGGGAUAGUUGGGGGCAUUAGUAUUCAAUUGUCAGAGGUGAAAUUCUUGGAUUUAUUGAAGACUAACUACUGCGAAAGCAUUUGCCAAGGAUGUUUUCAUUAAUCAAGAACGAAAGUUAGGGGAUCGAAGACGAUCAGAUACCGUCGUAGUCUUAACCAUAAACUAUGCCGACUAGGGAUCGGAUGAUGUUUAUCUUUUAGUGACUCAUUCGGCACCUUAC
Molecule: ribosomal RNA, 520 nt
Filed under: uncultured Glomus
Lineage: Eukaryota; Fungi; Glomeromycota; Glomeromycetes; Glomerales; Glomeraceae
Description: SSU rRNA
Rfam family: Eukaryotic small subunit ribosomal RNA
Source: RNAcentral